CCUGCUCGGGACUCCGCCUGCUGAAAGGACGGAGGCUGUAGUCUGGCGUCUGUGGAAGGCCCGAUGAAAGUAAUGGAAGUCUGUCGAUGGCCUAAGCAAGCACCAACAUGACCACAAGAUGUCCCAAGAGCAUGAGCUCUAGUGUGUUUUGCUGGAAGUUCAGAAGCUCACAGAGAUAGCCCUAUGUGGUGAAAGCCUCUGAGCAUGAGAAGGGCAUGUAGGAAAAAGUUACAAAGUACUGAUUGCGCAGCUGUCCUGCAACUUCAUGAGGAAGAAUUGUUAGAACCAGCCUGAGACCAGUGACAGUCUAUGCAAGACUACUCCAUAAGAAGCAAAAAACUAUUAAAAAGAUGGAAUAUUAAGCCUGCAUGUAGUAACACAAGGUGCUUUUAACUGUAUCGGGGCAGUGUCUGGUAAUGUUUAUGUAGACAAAAAAUAAAGAUUUAUGUUUCUGUUCUCAGAA
Molecule: long non-coding RNA, 463 nt
Organism: Gymnogyps californianus (California condor)
Lineage: Eukaryota; Metazoa; Chordata; Aves; Accipitriformes; Cathartidae
Exons: 4
Source: RefSeq, a predicted model, not a curated record